This 466-nucleotide ribosomal RNA is filed under the name uncultured bacterium. Its description in RNAcentral is "partial 16S ribosomal RNA". It matches the Rfam family "Bacterial small subunit ribosomal RNA", at positions 28 to 507 of the family's 1533-position model. The record is from RNAcentral.
GACGAACGCUGGCGGCGUGCUUAACACAUGCAAGUCGAACGGAAAGGCCCAGCUUGCGGGGUUCUCGAGUGGCGAACGGGUGAGUAACACGUGGGUGAUCUGCCCUGGACUCGGGGAUAAGCCUGGGAAACUGGGUCUAAUACGGGAGGUGACCUUACAUCUCAGGGUGGUUGGUGGAAUUCUUUUGCGGUGCAGGAUGGGCCCGCGGCCUAUCAGCUUGUUGGUGGGGUAAUGGCCUACCAAGGGGCCGGCGGGUGGCCGACCUGAGAGGGUGAUCGGCCACACUGGGACUGGGAAACGGCCCAGCCUCCUACGGGAGGCAGCAGUGGGGAAUAUUGACAAAUGGGGGCAAGCCUGAUGAAGCGACGCCGCGUGAGGGAUGACGGCCUUCGGGUUGUAAACCUCUUUCACAAGGGCCGAAGCGUGAGUGACGGUACCUGGAGAAGAAGCACCGGCCAACUACGUG